GGGUUGUGGCUCAGUGGUAGAACACUUGCCUAGCAUGUGUGAAGCACUGGGUUCAAUUCUCAGACCCA
Molecule: transfer RNA, 68 nt
Filed under: Marmota monax (woodchuck)
Lineage: Eukaryota; Metazoa; Chordata; Mammalia; Rodentia; Sciuridae
Description: tRNA.Ala
Source: RNAcentral